This 253-nucleotide ribosomal RNA is filed under the name uncultured bacterium. RNAcentral's name for it is "partial 16S ribosomal RNA". It matches the Rfam family "Bacterial small subunit ribosomal RNA", at positions 524 to 776 of the family's 1533-position model. The record is from RNAcentral.
GACGAAGGAUCCAAGCGUUAUCCGGAUUCAUUGGGUUUAAAGGGUGCGUAGGCGGGUUUGUAAGUCAGUGGUGAAAGCCGGCAGCUCAACUGUCGAAUUGCCAUUGAUACUGCAGAUCUAGAAUAUAGAUGACGUUGGCGGAAUAUGACAUGUAGCGGUGAAAUGCAUAGAUAUGUCAUAGAACACCGAUUGCGAAGGCAGCUGACGAAACUAUAAUUGACGCUGAUGCACGAAAGUGCGGGGAUCAAACAGG